RNAcentral lists this transfer RNA (72 nucleotides) under Loxodonta africana (African savanna elephant). It matches the Rfam family "tRNA". Rfam says of the family: Transfer RNA (tRNA) molecules are approximately 80 nucleotides in length. Their secondary structure includes four short double-helical elements and three loops (D, anti-codon, and T loops). Further hydrogen bonds mediate the characteristic L-shaped molecular structure. tRNAs have two regions of fundamental functional importance: the anti-codon, which is responsible for specific mRNA codon recognition, and the 3' end, to which the tRNAs corresponding amino acid is attached (by aminoacyl-tRNA synthetases). tRNAs cope with the degeneracy of the genetic code in two manners: having more than one tRNA (with a specific anti-codon) for a particular amino acid; and 'wobble' base-pairing, i.e. permitting non-standard base-pairing at the 3rd anti-codon position. The record is from Rfam by way of RNAcentral. Lineage: Eukaryota; Metazoa; Chordata; Mammalia; Proboscidea; Elephantidae.
GCCCUGGUGGUUCAGUAGUCGAACUCUUAGCUGCUAACUGAAAGAUCAGUGGUUCAAACCCACCCAAUGGCU